GAUGAACGCUGGCGGCGUGCUUAACACAUGCAAGUCGAACGGGAAUUAUUUUAUUGAAACUUCGGUCGAUUUAAUUUAAUUCUAGUGGCGGACGGGUGAGUAACGCGUGGGUAACCUGCCUUAUACAGGGGGAUAACAGUCAGAAAUGGCUGCUAAUACCGCAUAAGCGCACAGAGCUGCAUGGCUCAGUGUGAAAAACUCCGGUGGUAUAAGAUGGACCCGCGUUGGAUUAGCUUGUUGGCAGGGUAACGGCCUACCAAGGCGACGAUCCAUAGCCGGCCUGAGAGGGGGAACGGCGACAUUGGGACGGAGACACGGCCCAGACUCCUACGGGAGGAAGCAGUGGGGAAUAGUGCACAAUGGGGGAAACCCUGAUGCAGCGACGACGCGUGAAGGAAGAAGUAUCUCGGUAUGAAAACUUCUAUCAGCAGGGAAGAUAGUGACGGUACCUGACUAAGAAGCCCCGGCUAACUACGUG
This 478-nucleotide ribosomal RNA is filed under the name uncultured bacterium. RNAcentral's name for it is "partial 16S ribosomal RNA". It matches the Rfam family "Bacterial small subunit ribosomal RNA", at positions 28 to 507 of the family's 1533-position model. The record is from RNAcentral.